UUUUCCCCAUGCCAUAUUUUAGGCAGAGAGCAUACCUGAACACCUGCUGAAGUCAUCUACCUUAUCUUUUCUAACCACCUUGGGUUUCUGCAUAAAGAGUCCUUGAUUGAGGAACAAAUCUUGAAAUGGAAGAAAAUUUUCCAGUGAUAUUUUGGGAACUCAUCAAGAUUUUUUCCAGGCUAUCCAAGCUUCUAGAAGAAUAGAAUUUGGCAAAAAAAUAUACAGGCAGAAAAUUGCACCAUUUCCAUUUUUUUCCCACACAAAUUUUGGCCAUGAGCGAGCUACUUUAUGUUCCCCAAACAAGAAUAUUGAGUUUUUAACAACCGAUCUGUCAUUUUACACAUCUAUUUGCGAAAUUCCAUAACGAAAAGUACUUGUAAAUUCCAUAGGCACAGUAGGCAUUGGAAUCCCUAGCUUAAUAUCGCAGGCCAUGCUUAUGACUUGCCAAUAACCUGUUCCCCUACCCCAUGAACUAAUUCAUUGCUUUGAUUGAGUUUUUAUCACUUGAUUGAGUUUUUAUCACUAAAUAAAGAAUCAUAGAAUGUCCAGUGACUUCGAUACUAUAUGAACUCCUCGUCAUAAUGCUGAAGCCCAUGUGAUCAAUCCGCAUGCUCUCAAAACUGGCCAGAACUCUUAACGUAGUAUUUGGAAUCAACUGGCUCCGUCGAAGGGAUCUGUUGAUUUGGGUUCCAAAUAUAAGCCAGGCGAGCAAAACAGAUCGGCAUCCUACCCCACCUUAGAAUUAGUCUGACAACCAAUCUAUUGAAGUUCAGUCUAUUUUUCAACCAGUUAAACCCACAUCCACCACUGUUGAAUACUUGGCAUCUCAUUAAAGUUCUCAAUAUUCUUUACUACAAGUGAUCAGAAACUGAGUUUUGCAUCAGGUUGGUAAACUUGAUGAAUUGGCUACACAGCUGAUAGGAAGUGAAGACCAUUGACCUCCUAGUACUUUAUCACACAAGAGAUCUAUAUGAUUAUCAGGAUAGAUGAGAAUGAAACAUGAGUUUAAUCUUAGAUAAGAUCGAAACUGACCACCGUGGGUUGCUCGGGCCCAAAAUCGAUCAUAAGCAAGCAUUUGUCAGUACACACCAUUCUAGUUAGUAAGAAUUGAGCACAUCCUCAGAUAUUGAUCUAACAUUUAGUUCUGCAUAAAUCAACAAACAAAAUAAAUAAAAAUUCAAGAGCAUUUCUUCUUAUAUUAAACUUAUGCAUUGUUUAUGCAACCUUUCCACCUUCCUCUUUGGAUUUAUAAAUUCAGGAGUCUUGCCCAAUAAAUGUAAUAACUGUUGAAGAUAAUGAUGCAAAAUAAUAGGAAUAUAUGGGUAGUUAUCUCUACGUGUAUGGGUAGUUAUGUCUCUCUCUCCGAUAGUAUGUGUCCUUUUAAAAAUCAACAGUGGUCUCAGAGCAUUAAAACUUGCAACAUGGUAUCAAAGCCUUAUCAAUAACUCUCACCUUAACAUAUUAAUUUUAUAAAAUCAAUCAGAAUCCUUCAAUUUCUUCUACUAAAAUAUCAUAGAACUGAUAUAAUGUGUUGAUUAAAAUGCUAUGUUCACCUUCUACUUUAUAUUUGCAUAAAAUCGUGAUGUUGCGUUCUUUUAUGAAACGAUCAUCCCACUUGUUAAAUCGAUCAAGGACACAGAUGUUUCGCUUUCAACCUUUAUUCUAUAUAAAUCACCCCAUUGACAUUUGUGUGGCUUGCAUAAUCUCAAUUCCACCUAUGUAUGCAUGAUUUUGGGAUCCUGUAGAAACUUUAUUUCAAAUUGAAAUUGGAAUUGCUAGCUUCUCCCCUCUUCAAUUGAUUCAAUUGGAUCAAUUGAUAAAUAGAAUAAUAUCAAAGUCUCAAAGGAGAUUUACUUUCAAGUGGUAUAAAUUGACUUUAGGAGACGGUUUUUGAGGCAAGGUUUAUGAUCAUGACAAAGAGCCUCGAGGAACCCAUUCUAGUCAUCUGCUUUCUCCAAUGCACCAAUAAAAUAGCUGCAAUCUAAUCCUUUUUAUAGACCAAGAUGUAUGAGAACAUGGAACAAUUUCAAUUCUUUCAAAAUUUGUGGACAAGAGCCGAUCACAUCAAACCUUUACUUGAGCCUAUCUUCAUUUCCUAAAAUAAAUCAAUGCAUUAGGUGGUAAUAGUUUCUCCAUGUAUACCAUGAUUAUGGGUGUUCAUCAAGGCAGUUACUUUCUCAUAAUAUAGGGGUUUGCAUAUUUUCUUACUGGACCAUCAAUGUAUCUGUCAUGCCAUAAACUAGGUAUCACCUAUCAUCAAUACGUCUAGCAUGGCUUCCAUAAAUGCAGCCAAAUGCAAAAGGAUUAGAAGCUAUUUCAUGAUGGGGACUAAACCUAUGGUAGCUCUUCUUCAAUCUAGAAAUUUAGUAUAUAUUUGGACUACACUGUAAAGCACUUUAAAGGUUCUCACGGAUUUCCCAAUUGAUCAUGUCAUCAUCAAGCACAGUUUACAGUAUACCUACCAUCUACUAGUUUUCACCCAAAAAUAUUUUCUACAGUUUACAAAACUUUAACCAUCAUGAUUUAUUACUAUGACAUCUGCUACAUUAUCAAUCUAAUUAUUCCAGAUGAGAAGUAUUACGUCUGACUGAAAGUUUGUAUUUCAAUGUUAAUUUCCUUAUUGCUAAUGAUUCAUUGGAAAGUGAAAUACUUUCGUAACGAAAUCUUCAGAUGGCAUGGAUAAAGAAAAUGCCACUAUUUGUGACUAAUAAGGAAAUCAAUUCAAUGACUUGCUUCUACUGGAACACUUGAAUAUUUUUGCUUUUCCCAUUUUGUUCCUCAGUGUAUGAGAAGCACAAUAUCCUUUUAGCAAGAUGCAGACAACAUAUAUUAUCUUUGAAUAAAAUCCAAAGCCCACAAUCUCAACCAUCAACCAGCAGCCAAAUUGGCGAUCAAAAUAUUCAUAUAGAUUAUAACCAUACGUAUUGUCUUACAUUACACACAUUUACAAUCCAAAGUUUCAUUAUCUAUAUGACUAAAAAUGAAAACUGGAUUUUGUGGGAAUUUCGUAGAUCACCCAGUUCCAAUUUCCCAUUUACUCAACAGUGCAAAUAGCUUACAUUCAAAUGCAUGUUAAGAAAAUAUAUGUCCAAAUAAGUGUCUUACAAGGAAUUCUUAAUUAAUUUUUAGUAUUUAUGCAGCAUUUCUUCAGAUACAUAAAUAUAUUUUACAGUCCCACUCAGUUUUAAGUCUAUCUUUUCAGGAAUUUCCAGGACAUAUCAAUUGUUAUGCAUAUGCACUUCAAACAUGAACUUUCCAUUAACAACAUCAAGGUACCUUGGCUCAACCACUUCUUUCAAAUACAUGUUCAAAGUUGCAUAGAAAUUAAGGGAUCCUUUUCCAAAUGAAAUGAAAUCCAGUAGAGUAGUUUAAAUUAACAUACAUUUUCGUACUAUGGAAUUAAGAUGGGACGAAAGACAUAAUCUAUAUCAGACAUGUUUUAAACAUGACAUGCCAUUGCAAUUUUAAUUUUGGUUCCUGCCAUUCUGGAUAAAGUGAUAAAUGUUUAAUAUGUGGUGGAACUCAUUUCAAAAUGCAAUCUUUUACGAUGGCAUUAACUAUAAAUAAUAUAAGCGUAUGUUCCCCUACCAUUCUUUAAAUUAAUGACAUGUAACUCCAUCAAUGCGUGCUUGUGGUCAUAUCAUCAUCAUCAAAGCCUUAUCCCAAUUAUUUGGGGAUAGUUACAUGAUAAGAUGUCUCAAAUUUUUAUGCUGGCUACCUACCUAAUGCAACUCACCUCCGGCAACCCAUGCUUGUGGUCAUAUAUUCUAUUAAAAUGGGCAUCUACUACAAAUAGUUGCUCAGGUAUCUUUAUGAGGGUACUCCCUCUAUAAUUGCUAGCAGCAGUUAUAGAGGAUGAUUUAGGUAGACACCAACAAGAUUGGUAAACCGAUCUUCCUAUUUUGAACUUUUCACUGUGCAACAGCCAUGCCAAGUCAUCAGCUACACUAUAACGAGUUUUCUUUCACCGACAAUAUUCACACUCUCAAUCUCAUAUAUUGUUAUGCUCUAAGUAUCCCACUGUUACAUUAAGCAGAAUGUUGUUGUCCAGAGUGUUACAUUGGAAGAUUUGAUUAUUGGGACAAACAUAUGCAAGAUUCAUUAAACAGAAGGCUGUUGUCCAGAGUGUCACACAGGAAGAUUUGAUUAUUGGGACAAACAUGUGCAAGAUUCAUUGCGCUAUUCUUUGUGCACUCAAUAUAUUGUUAGUAACAGUGUGCCUUACUGUGACAAACAACUACACUUAUCUAACAUCAAAGGCCAUCAUAAUUUAAAAAACGAUGACCUGUCAACCUAUAUAUCGUGUGGGUGCUGAAGUCAUACUUGAGCUUUGAAAAUGAAAUGGAGUGCUGAAAGUUUUUUUUAUCUGGUUAUGGUGUACAUGGAAAAAAGAACAUGAGCAAAGAUAGACACUUUGAGGUGCAGCAAGCUUCCUCUAGGGUAAAAAAAUGAGUCGUAACCCGGUGGUGGUCCCGCCUAAGCAGGUUGCCAGGAGGGUUGGGUUGGAAACAGUCCCUAACCUUUGGCUUAUACAUAAAGUGGCCGCUCUCAGGACUUGAACGUGAGCUUUUGCACUGGUUACCUGAGCCUUUUACUGUCACGUCAAGUGACGUUCCCUAAGCUUUCUCUAGGUUAGUUUAGGUUAUAUAGAUCCAGAAUGUGAACAUUCCAUUUUAGGUAACCAUGGAAAUGCUAUCAUUAUCAUCGAAGCCAUUUCCCAACUAAUUGGGGUUGGCUGCUCAAAUUUUGGUCCUCCAUUCUACUAUAUUAUGGGUCAUACCCUUAACAAGGUCAUAAAUUCCUAUAUAUUUUCUCACUACUUCCAAUGAUGUCCUUUUGGGCCUACUCUUUGCCAUUUUUUAGUCUUCCACUUGAACUAACUCACACCUCCUAAUAGAUGUUGUACUAGAUCCGUGCUACACAUGGCCAACCCACCUAACUCUACUCUCUCUCAUCUUAUCGCCUAUUGGUACCACACCUAAAUUUUCCUGCACGUAUUCAAUUUGAAUUAUCUCUUCUUGUCUUGCAACUCAUCCAUCUCAACAUCCUUAUCUCCACUACACUCAUUCUAUGAGUAUAUUAUUUUUUUACUGCCAAAGUUUGUCUCACAACUGUCCUAUAGAUCUUGCCCUUUAGCUCCAUCGAUAUGCGGCGAUCACAUAAAAUUCCGGUUGCAAAUCUCCACUUUGCCCAUCCACCUCUAAUUCUAUGUGUCGUCUUCUUCAAUCUCUCCAUUUUCUUGAUAAUCAAUCCUAGAUACUGAAAGUGCGCUCUUUUUUAAUAUUUCAUGGCUAUCAAUCUUACCUACUUCUUUGUCUCUACUCUUAUUAUUGCUAAACUUGUAUUCUAUAUACUCUGCAUUAGUCUGGCUUAUUUUAAAACCUUAAGAUUCUACAGCAUACCUCCAAAAUUCCAACUUUGUAUUGAUGUCAUUUCGAAUCUUAUCGAUCAAAACUAUGUCAUCUGCACACAACAUGCACCACGGUACCUCAUCUUAUAUGUACUUAGUUCAGUUGUCCAUAACUAAGACAAAAAGGUAUGGGUUCAAUGCUGACCCCCAAUGUAGAUCUAUUGUCAUUGAAAAUUCACUCGUCCCUCCAUUAGUUGUCCGUACACUAGUUAACGCUCGAUCAUACAUAUUUCUCACCAAGUCAAUGUAGUGUUUGGAGACUUCUUUUUUUUCCAACGCCCACCAAAUCAAAUAUCAAGGUACUCUAUCAUUAGCUUUCUCUAGAUCAAUAAAGACCAUGUGGAGAUCCUUUCUCUUCGCCUUAAACUUCUCAAUUAGUUUCCUAAGUAAAAAAUAGCCUUGGUUGUUGAUAAGCAUGGAACUGUCAAUAACACAAACAAAUAUCAUGUAAAAGAAUUAAUAAAGUCCAAAGUUUCUAUGUUUCCAAACUUUUAUUAGGCUCUAAAAGUGAUUGUCCAAUUUCUAGUGUACUCCAAUUAUAUUAUGAGAAAUUUCAAAGCUCUUUUAUUUGUAUAAAUAUGCGAUAUUUUAUCAAUUUAUGCUCUCCUAUGGAAUGCCUCUAUGGAAAAUUGGGCGUUAAAUAUAAUGGUAUCAGUAAAUGCGUAUUUAGUGGUUAACAAUAAUUUCUAGGAUUGUUUUAGAAUACAAUGAGCUCUUUCCUUUCUAGGAUUGUUUUAGAAUAUAAUGAGCUUUCUCCCCCAUCUAAAAGCCAUGUUUACAAACCCAGGGUUGGAGAGAGAUUAGACAUAUAGUUUGGUAAAGUAAGAAAGUAUAUACUCAAUUUUUUUUAAAAAAAGUCAAAGACUAAAUGUCUCAGCACCCCACAAUAUCAACCUCAAAAAGCAAAAAAAGAAAAGAAAGGAGAAGAAAAAAGAUCUAGACGCUUAAAAUAACAAAAAAAAGUCUGAAACCUUUGAAAGCACUCAUAAAAGAGGACAUGAUCCUAAAAGGUGUCCAUUGAGGAUUAUUCUACAAGCACGGUUAAUUCAUUUGUAACUGAUCGGUUAUUUUUUUUCCACAAGUAUUCAGUGAUCUCUAGAGCUUUUUUUAUCUUUGAGAUCUUGUAGAUUCCUAGAGAGUAUAAUCCAGGCCCAUAAUUUUCCUUCUUUUUGUUUUUUUUAAUACAAUGAAUCCUAUAUUUCCAUGAUUUGAAUUUCAGAAUCCUUUAAAGUUUCUCCUUUUAUCAGUGGGCUUUUGAGUUUCCUUAGCUUAUUUGAACCCAGUGUCUCUCCCUCCAUGAAAACUCUUGUAUAUUUCAAGCUUAUCAUUGAUUACAAAGUAUUGGUGAACUGAGAGAAUAAGUGAUGAUCAAUAAACAUCAUACAACUCUACAGGUAUAUGAUCAAUUUGUCUAAAUACACUGAAAUCCCAUAAAACACAAGCAGAUUACGGUAACGACUUGAUUAUUAAGUAAAGAUUAACAGAAAAACAAUUCAUAUUAUUUAUUACAAUAAAGAUACAACAUCAAAUACAAAGAUUAUAUAUAAAUCUUACAUGUCUAUUACUUGAUGAUACAUCAAAUCCCAGGAAAAAGAGAAACCAUUUCAAAGUUCAAAAGAGAGUUCACCUACCCAACUGACUUUCAAUGCAAACAAAGAUGACCCAGAUGUUCAAGCAUAUUUGCACUGCACAAAAGGAUUGAAAUCCAUUUUUCUCAGAGAAAGAAAUCGACUCAAUAAUGGAGUGCAAGUUCCAGCAUCGUGAAUAACCAGAUUAUGAAUCCCAUUUCCUUAUGGAAAGUGGCUCUCGUUUUUGGGUCCAUUUUCAAAUUAAAUAAAAUCGAUGUAAGCACUCAAAAAGGGACAGGCUAAAGAUUAGGGAUCAUAACUAGGGUUCUGAGGAACGAGCCUCGAGGUAUGAAUAAGUAUAUUAUAUGUUUCACUAAAUAUGUUACUUUGUAUUUUGUUCUUAAUUUCUUAUGGUUUAAACCCUGG
Molecule: long non-coding RNA, 7404 nt
Filed under: Amborella trichopoda
Lineage: Eukaryota; Viridiplantae; Streptophyta; Magnoliopsida; Amborellales; Amborellaceae
Description: long non-coding RNA (ATRI_LNC000166)
Source: RNAcentral